This 292-nucleotide ribosomal RNA is filed under the name uncultured bacterium. RNAcentral's name for it is "partial 16S ribosomal RNA". It matches the Rfam family "Bacterial small subunit ribosomal RNA", at positions 505 to 796 of the family's 1533-position model. The record is from RNAcentral.
GUGUCAGCCGCCGCGGUAAGACGUAGGAUGCGAGCGUUGUUCGGAUUUAUUGGGCGUAAAGCGUACGUAGGCGGCUUUUUAAGUCUGGUGUUAAAGCUAGGGGCUCAACCCCUGUGUUGCACUGGAAACUGGAAGGCUUGAGUGUGGUAGGGGAAGGUGGAAUUCCGAGUGUAGCGGUGAAAUGCGUAGAUAUUCGGAAGAACACCGGUGGCGAAAGCGACCUUCUGGGCCAUUACUGACGCUGAGGUACGAAAGCUUGGGGAGCGAACGGGAUUAGAAACCCUGGUAGUCC